Long non-coding RNA from Pseudophryne corroboree (corroboree frog), 841 nucleotides. RefSeq lists it as uncharacterized. The record is from RefSeq and is a predicted model, not a curated record. NCBI's taxonomy places the organism in Eukaryota, Metazoa, Chordata, Amphibia, Anura, Myobatrachidae. The transcript has 5 exons.
AAUAUAUUUACUCAAUUUUUUUAAAUUAGUUUACUGUUCUGACCUCCCAAUCAUCAUCUGCAAGCCAAAGAAGAUUUUUUCUCCUUAUUACUUUCCAGUUAUCUUGUUUGCCCUUCCAAUCAACUGCAAUCCGCUGAUUAGGACUCCUCAUUAUUUGGUUUUGCGGAAAAGAAACUUGAUCCACAAUGAAUCCACAACAAAGAAUAUGAAAACCAUCUUGAUCCUACAUAACAUAAUCUGAUGCGGACACAUGGAUGACUCUGUAUCCCUCUGUCUUCAGUUCCUUCACCCUGGCUCGCAAGACCGUUUGUGACAUAUCUAAAAAUGAAGUAAAACAGGCAACUUUGUCUACAUGUGUGUUUCCAGAGCUCUGGUCCUCUACAUAAAACAAAUAUAUUUGUAUGCUACAUGCCAGCAUUUUGCUUAUACUCCACUCUUGUGAUGUCUAAACUUGUAGCCUAUAACACUCUGCUAAGACUGUAUCCAAAGUAAAUCAAAUGAUGUUUUUUUUUUUGAAAAAUUUACAAACCAUACACAAAAUUACAAUAGAAAAUCAAUGUAGGAUUAACUUAGUUUCCUAUUGAGUUUGGUGAUUCAAACUCGCAAUUUGAAUAAGAAGCCUAUGGCUAAAACUAAUUAAAAAUAAUAAAUGUUAGUGUUAUAUGUAGGAUUUUUUAAGUGCAGGAUGAUGAUCGUUGAGUAGGGCACAUUUGUUAUCUUGAGGAAACACAUUUUUUAUGUUACGUUUUUCAAAAAAAGCAUAGCACAUAUGUCUCACCAUAUUUAGUUAUCUGAUAAUGCAAUCUAUAUACAUUUAUUCAUUACCUUUAAUAUUUAAGCU